Molecule: long non-coding RNA, 604 nt
Organism: Apis dorsata (giant honeybee)
Lineage: Eukaryota; Metazoa; Arthropoda; Insecta; Hymenoptera; Apidae
Exons: 2
Source: RefSeq, a predicted model, not a curated record
UAGACACAGACCUGGAUGUUCUUCUAUAUUUUUUAGGCUCUCUGUGAGGACUACAAGGUUGAGAAGACGGUCUAGGACGGCUGGGCAUUUUAGUAACAGAUAGCUCUCGAAUUCUUCUACGCCUAUUGCAUCCCGGAUCUUCAUUAACGAUUUUAAUACCGCUUCUUGAUGUGGUACCUGGGCCAGUCGGGAGGCCAAGGCUAUUGUUACCUCCUUAACAAAUCGGGAAUCAGGCGAUGGACUACUUGACGAUGGAAACAGGAGAGAGGGUACGCUUAAGAUCACACCGGUGGUAACGUUCGUCUGAAAGGAAUUCUGUACUUCUGAACGGUUUAGGCCAUCUUCAAGAAUCUGCAAGAGAACGAUCGAUACAAUUGCGUUUAGAUAUCGAUCCAUGAUGAUGUAUAAGAUAGUGGGGAGAUUGCAAGGUCAGAAAUAUGUUUGUGCACGGACCUGUCUAUCUGAUAUGUUUGCCGAAAAUUUUAAAAUAUAUCAUGAAUAAUAUGAAGAUGGAAAAGGAUAAUUCGUGAAAUGCUAUUAAAUUUAUUAGUUUAUAUGUAAUAUAAUUUAUAUAUAAUAAAUCCUGUAACUUAUAAUAAAUUAA